This 406-nucleotide long non-coding RNA is filed under the name Olea europaea (common olive). RNAcentral describes it as "long non-coding RNA (OEUR_LNC008175)". Lineage: Eukaryota; Viridiplantae; Streptophyta; Magnoliopsida; Lamiales; Oleaceae. The record is from RNAcentral.
AAGAUGUGGCUAAAUUGUAAAAAAGGUGUUGAGGCGGUGAGUGAAUUGAACCUGUCGAGACUUGUGAAGAUGGGGCUCAUGGCCCACCCAUAUCGAACCACGUGGCAUUUCAGUCGAGACCCCUAAGCCAAUGAAGAUUGACCAACACCAGCAAACAUCUCCUAUGACGUGGCCUAGAUUCUGUAUGCCGAAGUGCAGUAAUUGAGGUGGUACCAAAGCCAAAGCCUAGGACAACUAGCAUCGCUUCUCCCCAGAGAUCCGAUCUUUCACAAAAAUUCUCCUUGAAUGAUUGAUGGGACACCCACAAUAGAGUGCAAGUGUCUUGUCUUGUUAAAGUAGCGACGGCUCUGCCAAUUAAUAAAUGCAUAGCAGGCUAGGUGGUCAAACUUGAUACCAACAAUUUGAC